Molecule: long non-coding RNA, 1869 nt
Filed under: Marmota monax (woodchuck)
Lineage: Eukaryota; Metazoa; Chordata; Mammalia; Rodentia; Sciuridae
Source: RNAcentral
AGGGGUCAGGCAUACGGGUUUGUCAAGGUGACCUUGAGCCACAGGAGGAAGUGGCUUUAAUGUCAAAACAAGGUGGACUAAUCCGAGGAGGCUCCCCAAUGAGGCCAUCUGGGAGUCGGCAAGUACCCUAGAGGUGCAACGAGGACCGUUUUUCUGUUGGUCCCCAUCUUCCUCUGCCUAAUGGGGGGGGGGGGGCUUACUCCUGCACCUGGGAAUGAUGUAGCCUUCCAGAUAGGAGAUCACCUCUGGCAGGAAUCGAAGGGGCUAAGGAGACCAUGUUCCCCUGCCUCAGCCUGCCAUUCUUGGCCACAGCUGACAAUGACCAUGAGGGUGCACAUGUCCUGUGUCAUGCCAGGUCAUCCUUGAGUGCACUGAGUCCCUUAGAAGCAGAAACUGUCCCUCCACUUAAUGCCGCAUGACAGCUGGUGUCACUCUCAAAGGUGGGAAUGUCCAAGAACAAGGCUUGGUAGUUGCUGAUGGGGGAAGGGACGUGGCCAGAAUCUCUGCAAUUCUCCCCAUUCGUCAGACUGAUUCGAAUGGGCCAUGAACAGAGACCCCAUGUCACUCCCCUGGGCUUGGCACAGGUCGGCCUAUCUGUCCAAGUCCCCUGUGGGCUGGUAUCUGCAGUGAGUGUCAAUGCUGUCCUGGGGCGUCCAGCCCAUGGAAGACAAGUCCUUGUUAUUCAAGGGAAUACCUGCAAGGCACCCUGGCAUCAAUGACGCAAAGCUGACAGUGGCUGAGGGUGGCACAGCCCAGGCUUCCUGGGGUUGGCUGUCUGGCCAUGAGUCAAUGAGCUUUCCCUCUGUUCUCACCCCCCCAAUCUAUCCCUACUUAAGGGGCCAGGGUCUACCUUUAGCUGCUUCAUGCUGAUACAGGGAGGCUGUCCUAGUCUUGUCCCCCCACAUGCUCCAGAGGGGACAAUGGGUGAUGCAGAGUUCUGAACCGGAAAGGUCCCCGUUUGUCUGAAUAACUAAAUGGGGGCCCCUGUGAGUUAUAUCACCAGGCAGUAGCUCCUGUAGAGCAACCUUGAGGAGAUACUUGGUCCUCAGCACAGUGCCUGGGGAAACCUAGAGAAACCUAUGGAGGAUCAUCUAGAACAAGUCUUAUCCUUAAGUGAACCCACCGGGGAACUCCAACUCUAAAGCAGUUGGGGCCAGUAUCCCUGAGGGUCCUUAUUCAGGCUGAAGUUGGUCUCUAGAAGACUCUCCAUAGACGACCUGUCUUCCUGGUUAUUCGUCCGUAAGAACCGUAUCAAAAAAGGGAAUUCCACAUAAACUUCUGGGGCUUGACCAAGUUCAUAAGCCAUGGUCUGUAUCUCCAAACCAAGCAUUGGUUAAGGCUUGACCUAAGUACCCCAAAAGGACGACUUGGGCUGCUGGUUGGGGUCGCUUGGGUGCCUAAAUGGGCGGUGAGGACUCCGAGUCUCCUGGUGCUACGUGGCCAGGAUUUGCUGGAGGACAUAGUUGGCUUUCCUGUCCCAAGGACAAGAUAUCAAACUAGUUAUGACUUCCAAGAGCUGUAUAAACUUGUUUCUUGCAAGAAGCGGUGGCCUGGGACUGCUCUAGAGGACUUUGGGAGCCCAAGUGGAAAUCGUGUCCUGAGACACCUAAUGGAUUUUAAUUCAAACUAAGCUUAGUAUCUACCCUGGGGAAAAAUACUGAACCUGUAAACAGUCCCAGGAACUCACGCCAGUAAGUGCCCCUUGUCGGCUCCCAGUGGGUGUACCUUAAGGGGUGGUGUCAUAGGGACAUGUCUGCAUUGAUCACUGGGAAUGUUGUACCUGUGAGCCAUUCUGAAUCAACGUAGUGUCCCCACUUAUCCUGUUUCUAUAUCUCCAUAGAGGAGAUAGAAGCUGGUCCUCUGCAGAAG